AUAGCAGAAGCUGAGCUUAUCUGCGACAGGACUAUUCGGCCGGAAUUCGGGAAGCGAGUAGCAAAGUGAUCCCCCAUCUUUCCACCUAGCAGCCCUCCAAGUGAGCUUGCCAGUGCAAAUGUUAUCAUCAGGAGCCCAGUUCUGUUGUGCGUAAACCCCAUCAACUCCAGCCACAUUGGGGCAAAGGCCAAUGUUAUCAUCAGGAGCCCAGUUCUGUUGUGCGUAAACCCCAUCAACUCCAGCCACAUUGGGGCAAAGGCCAGGGCAGACCAUGGAAACGAGCCUGUGAC
This 290-nucleotide long non-coding RNA is filed under the name Zea mays. RNAcentral describes it as "long non-coding RNA (ZMAY_LNC002952)". The record is from RNAcentral. Lineage: Eukaryota; Viridiplantae; Streptophyta; Magnoliopsida; Poales; Poaceae.